This 415-nucleotide ribosomal RNA is filed under the name uncultured eukaryote. RNAcentral's name for it is "SSU rRNA". It matches the Rfam family "Eukaryotic small subunit ribosomal RNA", at positions 245 to 665 of the family's 1831-position model. The record is from RNAcentral.
GAUGAAUCAUAAUAACUGAUCGAAUCGAGGUUCGCCUUGAUAAAUCAUUCAAGUUUCUGCCCUAUCAGCUGUAGAUGGUAGUGUAUUGGACUACCAUGGCUAUUACGGGUAACGGAGAAUUAGGGUUCGAUUCCGGAGAGGGAGCCUGAGAAACGGCUACCACAUCUACGGAUGGCAGCAGGCGCGAAAAUUGCCCAAUCCCGAUUCGGGGAGGCAGUGACAAGAAAUAACAACCCAGAACAUUGUUUCCGGGAUUGCAAUGAGAACAAUUUAAAAACCUUAAUCGAGUACCAACUGGAGGGCAAGUUCUGGUGCCAGCAGCCGCGGUAAUUCCAGCUCCAGUAGCGUAUAUUAAAGUUGCUGCAGUUAAAAAAGACUCGUAGUUGAAUUUCUGUUGUAAGAGUCGAAGCUUUAC